AGAGGUUGCGAGCGUUGUUCGGAAUUACUGGGCUUAAAGGGCGCGUAGGCGGCCCGGUAAGUAGGGGGUGAAAUUCUGCGGCUCAACCGCAGGACUGCCUCCUAAACUGCCAGGCUUGAGCACGGUAGAGGCUGGUGGAAUUCCCGGUGUAGCGGUGGAAUGCGUAGAGAUCGGGAAGAACAUCGGUGGCGAAGGCGGCCAGCUGGGCCGUUGCUGACGCUCAGGUGCGAAAGCCAGGGGAGCAAACGGGAUUAGAUACCCCGGUAGUCCUGGCCCUAAACGAUGUCCACUAGGUCGAAGGUUCUCUGACGGAGUUUCGGCCGAAACAAAAGCGUUAAGUGGACCGCCUGGGGAGUACGGUCGCAAGGCUA
RNAcentral lists this ribosomal RNA (371 nucleotides) under uncultured bacterium. RNAcentral's name for it is "bacterial SSU rRNA". It matches the Rfam family "Bacterial small subunit ribosomal RNA", at positions 527 to 896 of the family's 1533-position model. The record is from RNAcentral.